Molecule: long non-coding RNA, 454 nt
Filed under: Salvia miltiorrhiza (redroot sage)
Lineage: Eukaryota; Viridiplantae; Streptophyta; Magnoliopsida; Lamiales; Lamiaceae
Description: long non-coding RNA (SMIL_LNC003813)
Source: RNAcentral
GAAAUAGCCUGGCGAAGGGAGCUCACUUGAGCUUAAGAAGUAUGCAAAGUUUGUUUUGAAGCUUGUUGGCUUCACUUUCUCUGCACGGGUGUGGUUCUUGCUAGUGGAGUGAGCUGUGUGUUAACUGAUAUGCUAUGUAUUUAUAAGUGGAUUCCGUAGACAAUGGAAAUUAUGAAGGUUGAAAUUUGUGUAGGGAGUUGGAAGGAAAGUCAGCUGCAAAUCUACACUUUUGAAAAAAAUAAGAUUUGCUAGAAAUCUGCAAAUCUUUGAAGUCAGAAAUCUUGAAUUGGAGGGGAAGGUUGAGCAUGCCAUCUUUGAAAAUUUUGUUUCUUUCGUGAUCUUCUUUUCCUCAUAUCUUGGCUUUUUGGAUUGCAUGGAAGAUAUUGAGACCUUGAAAAACUUGUUGCAGUAUGAUGUUGCGUUGAAGGAGAAGGUGGAAUAGUGUAGGAAUUGA